AGUGAACGCUGGCGGCGGGCCUAAUACAUGCAAGUCGAACGAACAGACGAUGAGCGUUCGCCUCUGACGGUAGCGACUGGCGGGUGAGUGACACGUGCAUAGCCUACCUCUAUUUCUGGGAUAACUACGUAAGACCGGUUCUGCUACUGGCUAAUAUAUUCAACGGCAGGGUUCAAUAGUGAUUGACGGUUUUGCUGUCUCUUAUAGAUGGAUCCGUGCCGCAUUAGCUAGUUGGUAAGGUAACGGCUUACCAAGGCGACGAUGCGUAGCCGACCUGAGAGGGUGAUCAGCCACACUGGAACUGAGACACGGUCCAGACUCCUACGGGAGGCAGCAGUAGGGAAUAUUGCGCAAUGGGCGAAAGCCUGACGCAGCCACGCCGCGUGAGUGAUGAAGGUCUUCGGAUCGUAAAGCUCUGUUGUUAGGAAAGAACAAAUGCGUAAGUAAAUAUCGCCGUUUUGACGGUACCUAAUCAGAAAGCACCGGCUAACUACGUG
RNAcentral lists this ribosomal RNA (497 nucleotides) under uncultured bacterium. RNAcentral's name for it is "partial 16S ribosomal RNA". It matches the Rfam family "Bacterial small subunit ribosomal RNA", at positions 29 to 507 of the family's 1533-position model. The record is from RNAcentral.